Molecule: ribosomal RNA, 421 nt
Filed under: Verrucomicrobiota bacterium
Lineage: Bacteria; Pseudomonadati; Verrucomicrobiota
Description: Verrucomicrobia bacterium partial 16S ribosomal RNA
Rfam family: Bacterial small subunit ribosomal RNA
Source: RNAcentral
UGGGGAAUUUUGCACAAUGGGCGCAAGCCUGAUGCAGCGACGCCGCGUGAGGGAUGAAGGCCUUCGGGUUGUAAACCUUUUUCGCUCAUGGUCAAGCCGCAGCUUUGGGUUGUGGUGAGGGUAGUGGGUAAAGAAGCCCCGGCUAACUACGUGCCAGCAGCCGCGGUAAUACGUAGGGGGCUAGCGUUAUCCGGAUUUACUGGGCGUAAAGGGUGCGUAGGUGGUCUUUCAAGUCGGUGGUUAAAGGCUACGGCUCAACCGUAGUUAGCCUCCGAAACUGGAAGACUUGAGUGCAGGAGAGGAAAGUGGAAUUCCCAGUGUAGCGGUGAAAUGCGUAGAUAUUGGGAGGAACACCAGUAGCGAAGGCGGCUUUCUGGACUGCAACUGACACUGAGGCACGAAAGCGUGGGUAGCAAACAGG